This 529-nucleotide ribosomal RNA is filed under the name Carlosrosaea sp. 4 ML-2016. Its description in RNAcentral is "eukaryotic LSU rRNA". The stretch from base 144 to 297 matches the Rfam family "5.8S ribosomal RNA". Lineage: Eukaryota; Fungi; Basidiomycota; Tremellomycetes; Tremellales; Trimorphomycetaceae. The record is from RNAcentral.
CAGGUCGGUCAUUGGGGACAGCUGGGACGAUCCCACGCCCUUUGGCCCUCCGCACACCAAACAACGUGAACAACCGGUGACGGCCCUGCCGUCGCCACCUUUACAACUGUCGUCCUAUGUCUUGAAAGCAAACAAAAGAGUACAACUCUCAACGAUGGAUCUCUUGGCUCUCGCAUCGAUGAAGAACGCAGCGAAUCGCGAUAUGUAAUGUGAAUUGCAGAAUUCAGUGAAUCAUCGAAUCUUUGAACGCACCUUGCACCCUCUGGUAUUCCGGAGGGUAUGCCUGUCUGAGUGUCACGUCAGCUUUCGUCCCCCCGUGUCCUGCACGGGGGGGUCGGACUUGGGUGUUGCCCCUAGCCGGGCUCGCCUCAAAUGCAUCGGUGGCCUUGUGGCCCUUGGUCCUGCGUGAUAUGUAUCGCUAGACCUCGGGACGGCAGGCUUCCUUGAAACCGCCCUCGCUCUGCGAGCGGACUCUUGUGAUAGACCUCAGAUCAGGUAGGACUACCCGCUGAACUUAAGCAUAUCAAUA